CAAAUUAUACAUACUACCAUGGUUAACUCUGAACACUAUAAUUAGUCAAUUCCUUUUCUUUUAAACAGCAAAACCUUUACUGAAACAUUUUGAAUUUUAUAUACGACACUUUCAAACCAGUACUGUGAACUACAUCUUCAAAUAUAAGAAAACUACACCACUAAUACUGACUUAACGUUUCCAAAGCUUUGGAGCCUUCAGCACGGCAUUUAAAAAAUAUGUUCUCAUUAUAUCAUGUAUUAUAAUAUCUUUUCACUUUUAGCUCCUAUACGCAAGUUAUGGGCUUUACUCAAAUGUUUAUGUGAUCAAAUAUUCAUAAUUUGCUCUUAAUUUCAUGUUCCAUUUCAUUUGUAGUUCAGCUAUUUGUGAAAUAUUUGAAAAGCCCAGCUUAAUGCACGUCCUAAUAUGAAUAAUAUAAAAAAUGUGCAAUAAUGACUGUGUAAAUCUCUGCACAGUAUGACAUUAUGAGUGAUUUUGAGUCAGUCAUCUGUCUUGGCACCAGCUGCAGUUCCAGCACGACCAACUGGAGUCAAAGUCAAUGGCAGGCUGGAGUUCAUCUUAUCAAAAAGUCAUAAAGCAGAGAGUAGCCUGUCAUUUUAGGAGACACGCUUUUCCUAAAUAGGAACUUACUGAUACGCUGUAUACACACAGAAUGAACUUUGAACAGUGUGCCUAUGAUGACGUGACUGAUAAACACACAUUAAUGUGGGAUGGAGGGGAGAGAUAAACCUCAGGCCAUGUUUAAUUUCGACAGUAGCCCCAAGGAAGCCUGCAUGCUGCUGCUCUUCUUCUUUUGUUUGAUUGUGUAAGAGGAAUGUCUUCUGCAAAUUCUCUCAUGACAAAUAUAUGGCUGAUCUUUUCCCAACAUUUUAACAGAUGACCACCAUCACACGUCAAAGUCACAUGUUUCCUUCUUCCUUCCUUCCUCUUUAGAUUGCAAAGACUGGAUUAACAUCUCCUCCUGAGUUCACAAGACCAUGACUAUCGGCAGGAGCUCCAGAAAGAACAAGGCCCCUCAUUCUCCUCCUUUCCUGGACAAGGCUAAUGGAUUCUAUGGGCGCUUGGAUGAGAUGUUUGGAGACGAUGUACAGAUGGAGAGAGAGACCAUAGAAGAACAGAUAGGAACCUUAAACCGGAGCACCCAAGACAAUAGUACAGCUCCAGGCUGGAUAGAAGAAGAUGACCAUGUGGUUGAUUUUAACCAGGGUAUGAUGGAUGACGAUGGGACCACUUUACUGAAGAAAAAGCCCAGCAGACUGAGUCGCCGCUGGAGCAGGAUGAGCUCCAGGAAGGGAAAAUAUGACAAAUUUCCCUCAGAAAAAGAACUUGGUAAUGAGACCAACAAGCCCACCUCUGUAGAUCUAAACCCAGAGGUGCCACCAGCAACCCAAACCCUGGAAAACAGCAAAGAACCAGAACCAACGCUGAUCCAUUUCUCUGUGAGGGAGCAUACUGAUGACCAGACUCUGAUAUCAGGGAAGAAAGAAGGAGAACGGGAAAUGGAAGACACAAGAAAAGAGAAGAAGACAGAAGGCAAACUGAAUGGAGAGUCAAUGGAAGUUGUAAAGAGGAACAAUCUCAAGAAUUAUCGCAAGGCCGUGGACAGAGCUUUCCGUCGAGGAUGGGAGACUUUUGUUGCCAAUCUGUACAGUGUGACACUGACACCUAUAUCAUCAACCUCCUCUUCAUCCACACCAUCAGACAAAACUGAAUUCAACAGGAAUCGUGUUUUAGCAGAAUUCAGAUAACAGUAGAACAGACUCAUUUGUAUUUUCAUAUUGAUGAGUAAUUUCAUUUAUUCAUUUAAGUGUGCUCAAAUAUUUAAUUUGCAUUGUUGUUCUUGCAUAAAACUGAUAACCAUCAAUCUUGUUUUAAACUGAUCAUUAUGUAACCUGACAUGAAAGGUCAAUAUUUGAACUUUUAUCAGUGUAUAAAUUUGUUAUCACAGUGCUAACUAAAGAGGCGUCUACCUGAUCUUUGUUCCCUUGUGAGGAAACAUGAGGCCUAUAAUUAUCCAAUGUGGACAGAUCCUUUUUAUUUGAUGUGAUAAUGUUUUUGAGUAGCAGAGUUCCUGUACUUUGGCGAUGAACGUGUAUUACAGGUUUUGUACCAAAGGGUUAACCCUUAAAAAAAAAAAACUGGGAGCUCAUGGAUUUUUUUUUUAAUGUCAUCAACAGGUAACAUCACUGGCAGUGAAGUAUAUAAAUAACUGAGCCGAGAGAUUAAAUGAAGAUGGCUUUUGUUUUCUUGGGACUUAUUUAUCUUGUCUAACUUAGUUUGCUGAACCCAGUUUCCUAAUGUUAUGAAGGAGAAUUUUUAUUUGUAGCGUCUUUUUUAUCUGCAUUGUGACAUCAAAGCAGUGCUUAUAAUAAAAAGGAAAAGUGAGAAAAAAGUCAAUCUGUUUGGCU
Molecule: long non-coding RNA, 2408 nt
Organism: Sinocyclocheilus grahami
Lineage: Eukaryota; Metazoa; Chordata; Actinopteri; Cypriniformes; Cyprinidae
Source: Ensembl